CUUUUGCCGAGGCGAUCAGCUCCGGGGCAGAUGCGUUCUGCAGCGGAGCGGGAGAUCGGUCCAGGCAGGGCUAAUUUUCCAGCAUCGAGCCUACUUGAGGGAGCCGCCAGGACCCGGCAGCCCUCUUGAGGGAGGCUGACGAGGCGAAGGCGGAGCCAGCAGCGCCCCCUCCCCGGCUGUUCAAAAGCUGCCCCUAGGGAGUGCAAGCGACCAGGAGCUCGUUGAACAGGAUGGGCAAACAGGGCAUGGCGCAUCAGAAGGGAGUGGCGAGGCAGUUAGCGUGGCAGUUCGUGCAGGCAGGGCGAGCAGGAAGGGCAGAGCAUUUCCCCCACCCAUAGGAACACCUCCUUAACGACAGCCGUUAGCUGGGUGAUAAUGGUCUCCACCAGGCACGGUGCGCUCUCCAGGAAGUCGGUACACACCCAGACCAACUACCUGUUCUACCUGUUAAAGAAUGCAGCAGUUCAGGUCACCUGCAGCAGUUCAGGUCACCAGAUGCAGGGAGUGUCUGAGCCUGCUGCUGCCAUCGGCGGGAGGCAGAGAAAAUGCGUGCGUGAGGUGCGAGCAGGUGGAUGACCUGAUCCGCAUGGUGGCGGAGCUCAAGGAGGAGGUGGAGAGGUUGAGGGACAUCAGGGAGUGUGAGAAGGAGAUAGGCUUGUGGAGUAACUCCCUGCUGGGCCUCAAGGAGAGAUACCGGGGUGAGACACCCCAAAUGGGGGUGGACCCCCUGCCCUGUCGCCAUCGGGCAGAUGGAGGGGAUCUGGGAGUUGAGGAGGAAUGGAAACAGGUCCCUGCUCGACAUGGCAGGCGAUGCCCUCCCCUUCCGGCCCCACCUUCCCAGGUGCCCUUACGCAACAGGUUUGAGGCCCUGGAGCUUGACAGACCAGUAGCUGAGGAAGAGGUAGCAAGUGUUCCCAGGAGGAUGCCUAGAGCGAGGAGGUCGACUCCACGCCUCAGGACUGCCUCCACCAAGAAAAACAGAAGGGUUAUUGUUGUGGGAGACUCUCUUCUUUGGGGAACAGAGGGCCCUAUUUUUCAGCCUGACCCUACCCGUAGGGAAGUCUGCUGCCUCCCUGGGGCCAGGGUCAGGGACGUUGCCAGGAAGCUUCCCAACCUGGUACACCCCUCUGAUUAUUAUCCUCUUUUGAUAGUCCAGGCGGGCAGUGACAAAGUUGAAGAGAGAAGCCUGAGGGCUAUCAAAAGAGACUUUAGGGGGCUGGGACGGUUAGUGGAUGGAACGGGAGUGCAGGUGGUGUUUUCAUCCAUCCCUACGGUGGCAGGGAGGGGUACAGAGAGGACACAGAAAGCCCACUUGUUAAACACGUGGCACCAGAGCUGGUGCCAACGCAGAAAUCUUGGGUUUUUCGACCAGGGGGCACUUUACUCAGCACCUGGCCUGAUGGCCACAGAUGGGUCCCUAUCUUUUAGGGG
This 1431-nucleotide long non-coding RNA is filed under the name Anas platyrhynchos platyrhynchos (common mallard). Its description in RNAcentral is "lncRNA (ENSAPLG00000029161.1)". The record is from RNAcentral. Lineage: Eukaryota; Metazoa; Chordata; Aves; Anseriformes; Anatidae.